UAUGUGGACCAGUGUAUUAUUCAUUUUAUUAUUUGAGAAUCCUUACCUGUCAUAUCAUAUUUGUAAAUAUUGCUAAAUAUGACUAGGAAUUACAUUUUCUUGAGUGUUUGGUGCCAUAGUGGUGAAUAUAUUUGAGUG
This is a long non-coding RNA of Haliotis rubra (blacklip abalone), 138 nucleotides long. RefSeq lists it as uncharacterized. NCBI's taxonomy places the organism in Eukaryota, Metazoa, Mollusca, Gastropoda, Lepetellida, Haliotidae. The record is from RefSeq and is a predicted model, not a curated record. The transcript is spliced from 3 exons.